UAGGGAAUCUUCCGCAAUGGACGCAAGUCUGACGGAGCAACGCCGCGUGAGUGAAGAAGGUUUUCGGAUCGUAAAACUCUGUUGUAAGAGAAGAACAAAUUGUAGAGUAACUGCUACAGUCUUGACGGUAUCUUACCAGAAAGCCACGGCUAACUACGUGCCAGCAGCCGCGGUAAUACGUAGGUGGCAAGCGUUGUCCGGAUUUAUUGGGCGUAAAGGGGGCGCAGGCUGCUUCUUAAGUCUGAUGUGAAAGCCCACGGCUCAACCAUUGUAGGCUUUGGAAACUGUUUAACUUGAGUGCAGAAGGGGAGAGUGGAAUUCCAUGUGUAGCGGUGAAAUGCGUAGAUAUAUGGAGGAACACCGGUGGCGAAAGCGGCUCUCUGGUCUGUAACUGACGCUGAGGCUCGAAAGCGUGGGGAGCGAACAGG
Molecule: ribosomal RNA, 428 nt
Filed under: Verrucomicrobiota bacterium
Lineage: Bacteria; Pseudomonadati; Verrucomicrobiota
Description: Verrucomicrobia bacterium partial 16S ribosomal RNA
Rfam family: Bacterial small subunit ribosomal RNA
Source: RNAcentral